UGCGUGCGUGCGCGCGUGUGUGUGUGUGUGUGUGUGUGUGUGUGUGUUUGUGUGUGCCACGCUACAGGCAUACUCCCUC
This 79-nucleotide microRNA precursor is filed under the name Ixodes scapularis (black-legged tick). Its description in RNAcentral is "miRNA". The record is from RNAcentral. Lineage: Eukaryota; Metazoa; Arthropoda; Arachnida; Ixodida; Ixodidae.